GGAUUAUAAAAGACAGCCUGAUAGGGAUUUGCUUAGCUGUAAGUCAGCACAGGGUAGACCUUUAACCUUAAAGGAUAUGUCAGUAAUACAGGGAAUGUACAAUUAU
Aptenodytes forsteri (emperor penguin) is the source of this 106-nucleotide long non-coding RNA. RefSeq lists it as uncharacterized. Lineage: Eukaryota; Metazoa; Chordata; Aves; Sphenisciformes; Spheniscidae. The record is from RefSeq and is a predicted model, not a curated record. The transcript is spliced from 3 exons.